Molecule: non-coding RNA, 392 nt
Organism: Phormidium sp. OSCR
Lineage: Bacteria; Bacillati; Cyanobacteriota; Cyanophyceae; Oscillatoriales; Oscillatoriaceae
Source: Rfam
GGGGCCUUCAUGGUUUCGACGUGUUGGGGAAACCCGAAGCGUGAUGCAGGCCGAGAGUGAGUCUCCUCUCGUAAAUCAAAGGCUCAAAACAAAAAGUAAAUGCGAACAACAUCGUUCCUUUCGCUCGCAAAGCAGCUGCGGUUGCUUAGAAAAAACCUCCAAUAGGUUCGAGCACUUAUAGUCCGACUCCGUUAAAGGCUAUAGGUAAACCCCAACGGAUGCACUCAUUCACUGUCUCUGGUCAGUGAACUGAGUUAAGACAAUACCAGAGCAUCCCGCCGUCCGGGAUAAGGGACGGUCCCCGCCCCAAGGGUUAACGGGGCUAAGCCUGUGAAUGAUCGUGAGGUCAAUACCCAAGGCGGACACGGGUUCGAUUCCCGUAGGCUCCACUU